RNAcentral lists this long non-coding RNA (176 nucleotides) under Danio rerio (zebrafish). RNAcentral describes it as "si:dkey-207c17.1 (ENSDARG00000103180.2)". The record is from RNAcentral. Lineage: Eukaryota; Metazoa; Chordata; Actinopteri; Cypriniformes; Danionidae.
AAAACAGGCAGAUCCACAGAAGACUUGUAUUAGUUGAAGGACCCCAUUUAAGAUCAUAUGUGACCCCUGUGAAGCUCAUGAUGUGCACACGGCAGAAUUGCAGAUCUACAGAAAACUUGAAUUAGUUGAAGGACCUCAUUCAAGAUCACGUGACCCCUGUGAAGCCCAUGAUGUGC